GAUGAACGCUGGCGGUCUGCUUAACACAUGCAAGUCGAACGCAGCCUUCGGGUUGAGUGGCGGACGGGUGAGUAACGCGUGAGAAUCUGCCUUGGGGUCGGGGACAACCACUGGAAACGGUGGCUAAUACCGGAUACGCCUUCGGGUAAAAGAUUUAUUGCCCUAAGAGGAGCUCGCGUCUGAUUAGCUAGUUGGUGAGGUAAGAGCUCACCAAGGCAGCGAUCAGUAGCUGGUCUGAGAGGACGAUCAGCCACACUGGGACUGAGACACGGCCCAGACUCCUACGGGAGGCAGCAGUGGGGAAUUUUCCGCAAUGUGCGAAAGCCUGACGGAGCAAGACCGCGUGAGGGAGGAAGGCUCUUGGGUUGUAAACCUCUUUUCUCAGGGAAGAAGCUCUGACGGUACCUGAGGAAUCAGCCUCGGCUAACUCCGUGCCAGCAGCCGCGGUAAUACGGAGGAGGCAAGCGUUAUCCGGAAUUAUUGGGCGUAAAGCGUCCGCAGGUGGCGAUUCAAGUCUGCUGUCAAAGCACGGGGCUUAACUCCGUAAAGGCAGUGGAAACUGAAUAGCUAGAGUGCCGUAGGGGUAGAGGGAAUUCCCGGUGUAGCGGUGAAAUGCGUAGAGAUCGGGAAGAACAUCGGUGGCGAAAGCGCUCUACUGGACGGCAACUGACACUCAGGGACGAAAGCUAGGGGAGCGAAUGGGAUUAGAUACCCCAGUAGUCCUAGCUGUAAACGAUGGAUACUAGGUGUAGCUUGUAUCGACCCGAGCUGUGCCGAAGCUAACGCGUUAAGUAUCCCGCCUGGGGAGUACGCACGCAAGUGUGAAACUCAAAGGAAUUGACGGGGGCCCGCACAAGCGGUGGAGUAUGUGGUUUAAUUCGAUGCAACGCGAA
Molecule: ribosomal RNA, 893 nt
Filed under: uncultured bacterium
Lineage: Bacteria
Description: bacterial SSU rRNA
Rfam family: Bacterial small subunit ribosomal RNA
Source: RNAcentral